RNAcentral lists this ribosomal RNA (325 nucleotides) under uncultured eukaryote. Its description in RNAcentral is "partial 18S ribosomal RNA". It matches the Rfam family "Eukaryotic small subunit ribosomal RNA", at positions 1470 to 1796 of the family's 1831-position model. The record is from RNAcentral.
CCCUUAGAUGUUCUGGGCCGCACGCGCGCUACACUGAUGCAUUCAAUGAGCCUAUCCUUGACCGACAGGUCCGGGUAAUCUUUGAAUCUGCAUCGUGACGGGGAUAGAUUAUUGCAAUUAUUAAUCUUCAACGAGGAAUGCCUAGUAGGCGCAAGUCAUCAGCUUGCGUCGAUUACGUCCCUGCCCUUUGUACACACCGCCCGUCGCUCCUACCGAUUGGGUGUGCUGGUGAAAUGUUCGGAUCGGCCGUUUGUCGCGGUUUCCGCGUCAUGUGGCUGAGAAGUUCAUUAAACCCUCCCACCUAGAGGAAGGAGAAGUCGUAACA